RNAcentral lists this long non-coding RNA (390 nucleotides) under Olea europaea subsp. europaea. Lineage: Eukaryota; Viridiplantae; Streptophyta; Magnoliopsida; Lamiales; Oleaceae. The record is from RNAcentral.
UUUGCUCCUUACUGUCCUUCAUAUAUUUUGCACAUUUAAUCUUUACAUUGAGGACAAUGUUUCAUUUAGGUUGGGGGAAAGGAAUCAAAAUGUUAAAAAAAAAAAAAAAAUUUCUUGCCAACCGAUGACGAUAUUAUUUGAAAUUGUUUUUAUAUUAUUGUGAUUAGGGGAUGCUGCUUUGAUUUAGUUUAAGCUUGUUCAUGUUAGAUUGAUCUACAUUGAGCACAAUAAUCAUGAAAAUCACAUAUUAUUUAGAUUGGAUCAAUGGAUAGAAUAUGCAGAAUUAACUAUGACAAAAAAAAAAAUUCUAACUAAACCAAUUCUAGGAUAGUUUGGGGGUGGUUGAGCUGUUGUGGGAAGACAUUGAGAUAGAUGUGGAUUUCAUGUAUG